GGCACUAUGGCCGAGUGGUUAAGGCGCUUCCCUGCUAUUACAGCAUCCUGAUCUGACAGGAAGUUCUUUCUGAGAGCGAGAGUUCGAAUCUCUCUGGUGUCG
This is a non-coding RNA of Tilletiopsis washingtonensis, 102 nucleotides long. Lineage: Eukaryota; Fungi; Basidiomycota; Exobasidiomycetes; Entylomatales. The record is from the annotation of a RefSeq genome assembly.